AACAAUAUCCUGGUGCUGCCUGAGUGCUCCCUAAAGACUCCAGCAUCAGUGAUUUUGUUG
Molecule: microRNA precursor, 60 nt
Organism: Astatotilapia calliptera (eastern happy)
Lineage: Eukaryota; Metazoa; Chordata; Actinopteri; Cichliformes; Cichlidae
Source: Ensembl